Molecule: ribosomal RNA, 462 nt
Filed under: uncultured bacterium
Lineage: Bacteria
Description: partial 16S ribosomal RNA
Rfam family: Bacterial small subunit ribosomal RNA
Source: RNAcentral
AGUGAACGCUGGCGGCGUGCCUAAUACAUGCAAGUCGAACGGAGAUUAAGUAGCUUGCUAUUUAAUCUUAGUGGCGCACGGGUGAGUAAUAUAUAGCUAACUUGCCCAUUACUAAGGGACAACAGUUGGAAACGACUGCUAAUACCUUAUACUCCGUAUCUAUAUAAGUAGAUACGGGAAAGUUUUUCGGUAAUGGAUAGGGCUACAUCGUAUCAGCUAGUUGGUAAGGUAAUGGCUUACCAAGGCUAUGGCGCGUAACUGGUCUGAGAGGAUGAUCAGUCACACUGGAACUGAGACACGGUCCAGACUCCUACGGGAGGCAGCAGUAGGGAAUAUUGCUCAAUGGGGGAAACCCUGAAGCAGCAACGCCGCGUGGAGGAUGACACUUUUCGGAGCGUAAACUCCUUUUCUUGGGAAAGAAUUAUGACGGUACCCAAGGAAUAAGCACCGGCUAACUCCGUG